Non-coding RNA from Anas platyrhynchos (mallard), 3462 nucleotides. The record is from RefSeq and is a predicted model, not a curated record. NCBI's taxonomy places the organism in Eukaryota, Metazoa, Chordata, Aves, Anseriformes, Anatidae.
AUUUUGUCCCCUCCCCCCGUUGCCAGGCAACCGACGCCAUUUCGUCCUGCCCCGCCGGGCUGCCCGCACUGCGCAUGCGCGCUCGCCGGCCUCCCAUUGGCUCCCGCCCCGCGGCUUCAAACGGUCCGGCGGGAGCGAUGGCGGCGGAGGCUGCGGCCGGAAUUUUUUUUUCUCUAGGAAAUAUGUCCUUUCACUUCCAUGACUUGAGAUUCUUUUUGUGAGGUUCAGUUUACCAUUACCAUCAUGGCAUUGCCCAUUGGCUCAAGAGUUAGAAGUCCUUUCCCAGUGCACUGCGUAUAUUGGAACAUGGUAGGGCAAGUAUUUUUUGUUCAGAAUUUGACAUAUGAAAUCACUCCUAGCACAGAAGGGACGUUUACAUCUGCACUCCGAAUGUGAAAAAAAAAAAAAGAAAAAAAAAAGGUGGGUGACAAAAAGGACUUUUAGUUUAGUUUUGCUUUUGCUAGACAGCAUCCUCUCCCUCGUGAUGCCCAAGCAGUGCUCUCUGAAGUCAGAAAUCCUGAGCAUUUCUGCUGCACUCACAGUGAAUGGCUGUGAGAGCUGGCUGUGGGAGGGACCCCACGCUGGAGCAGGGGCAGAGAGAGACCAUGAACUUUCUUAGUUCUCAUUUAGUUUCUCACUGCUCCAGUCUACCAGUAGCACUCAAUAAAUUAUGCUCGUCUUCCUAGAGUGAGUCUGCUUUGCCCAUGUCUGAAAUUGGUAAGGGCUCUGCCUGUUCCUUAAAUGUACCCUGAAGCCCUUUUCCACGCUAUUUAGUCCAUCUGUUCCUUUGAUGGGGAGCAGGUCAAAGAACAGUGUGCUGCCCAUCAGUGUGCUGGAUCUAGGGAGCUUUCAAGAUGGAAAAAAAAAACAAACAAAAAAAACAAUGACAAGUUAAUACUGGCUUCCCAGAGUGAAAUCUACUCCAUUUCUCCUUGAACCCCUCCCUGCCACACUCCCUCACUUGUCAUUCAGCCUCAUAAGCUAUAUUUAAUGAGUUUGAAUAUGAUACUGAAGUAUUCGGGACCUGUGCAUAUUGGGUCAGGAGGAAGCAGUCUUGUCCCUGUGCAUUGGGUACAUCAGAACAUGGCAGAGGCUCCAAGUUAUAUUUUCAGAAUUUGUCAGAUGAAAUCAAUGCAGAAGGGCAUACGGGGUGGUGUCCUAACAGGCCUAAAGAACGUGGAGGGCUGAGAGGACUUCUAGGAAUUUUUGUUUUUUUCCUACACAACCUCAUCAUGCCCAAGGAAUGUCCUCUGAAGUCAGAAGUCCUGAGGAUUUCUGCUGCACCCACAGUGAAUGGCUGUGAGACCUGAGAGGCAAAGGGAUUCCCUUUAGCUCAGAGCAGGGUGAGGGGAGCUGGUUGGGCUUGUUCCCAAUGGCCGUGAUCUUGCAGCUUUUGGAGAUGGAUGGCAAUCACAUUUAUGGUACACUUCAAAGAAAUCAGACACUGCUAAGAGCAGAGGAACCCACUGCCAAUCUCUCAGUGCGCAGCCUUUCUCAAGGUACCUAAGCAAGGUCUCAGCACCACAUGUCUUGCCAAGGACACUUAUCAUUUAUUUCACCAACCCAACAGCAUGUCCUCACAUGCAGCAUAUCUCUGCUUCUUCCUGGGGCAUUCACAUAACACAGAGAUACUACGGAAAAGAUUUCUAUCCUGCAGGGCAGCUCACAACUUGGAAGGCCAUCCCAGGGAGACAGACAAGUGUCCUAAUGAUGGUGUCUCAUUAAGGGAAAGUCAGCUCAUUCCCCAGCCUCACAGAAUGCACUGCCCACAGCCCCAGGCUGCUGCUCUCAGCCCCCCUGCACCACAGAGGGAAAUGGGCACGUGGCUGGAGAGAUGCACCUCUGCUCUGCUGGAACUGUGGCUGCAGAGGACGUGCUUCAUGCCCUGGACACACAGCAGUGACUGCAGGGGCUUUCCUGUGUGGGACAGGAGGCAAGAGGGCUUGCUCAGAGGAAGGGGGCUGCAAUGUAGGGAAUAAUACAGACUUUUCUGAGAAGUUCUCCCUCUGACUACAAAUCCGGUUUUUCUUUCUUCUCAUUCCCUAACCAUAUUUCUUCUGCCUGAAGAUUUUAUAACUGGGGGAUGUUUCCAUGUCCCAUGGUCUUUUCCCCACCUGUGUUCAGAGCCCUCCUGCCAACCUCUUUGCCCUUCAGAAACCAGCAGUUCCCAGAGCACUGCCUAGGUGCAUAUCCAUCUUUGCAGAUAGAAAACAGCCUGUCAGAAAGCCCCGACAGGUACAGCAAAGUUGCCAAUGAAGCUGGCCAUAAACAAAGGAGAGGCUGUAGGCAAUUUAUAAGCCUUCUUACAAGCCCACUGAUCAUCAAAGGAACAGUUCAGGAAUCUUAGAGAUGUGUUGGAACUUGACAGUUCCUUUUCCAUUUCUUUCUGCAACCUCACCCAAUCCUGCAAGUGCUGGAAAGGGAAAAGGAAGCAGAAAAUUCUUUUCUGGAUUUUUGUGUGUUUAGUGGAUUAUUUCUCCAACAUAUGUCACACCUUUCUGUGACUGACCUAGGAGCCUCCACCAUGUUCCUGCAUAUAAAUGAGAGGGGUUUUGCCUCUCGGGGACCAGGGCUUGGGACCAGGGCAGGAAACAGGACGAGGGCUGGGGUCCAGGACCAGGGCUGGGGACCAAGACUGGGGACCAGGGCUAGGAACCAUGUCUGGGGACAGGAUCAGGGCUGGGGACCAGGGCUGGGGAUCAGAACAGGGCUGGCUGUGCAGUGCUGGAUGUAGGGCUGGGCCCCAAAACCUCAUCUCUUUCCCUGUGCUGCAAAGCAGCUGGACUAUGACAUGCAUUUUGCAGGAGGAGUGUCAAGACAUGGGUUUUCCUGUUUGCAAGUCCCAGAUCCUGGUGAACAUCACCUAGGUCGGCCCAUCUGGCAGCUGUGCACAGAAGCUGUCUCCAAGAACCCACAGAAACCUCGGGAAUGUUUGCACCCUGCAGUGUCCCUUUUCUGUGACAGUCUGAGUGAUUUAAGGCCCCCAGGGUGACACGGGGUCAUUAAAUUCAUCUUAGUCCAGUGGCUUCCAUAAGACUGUCUGCUUCUUCAGCCUGACUGCAGGCAUUUACCUCUGACCACACUGCCACCCUGACUGGAUCUGCUCUGACCCUCACCCACAAGGGCUCCCCCACUCUGCUGCCCAUCCCAUAGAGGAGCUCCAUGCAUCCAGACAGAUCCUUCACAUGGAGGGCAACCCCCUGUUGAUCAUCCCCGCCUGUCUCUUCUGAAGAAUCUGCCCCCAUCCAGCACAGCACCCCAAGCUGGGGGACCUGUCCCCCCACACCUCAGCAGCUCUUCCAUCAAUGUCCCAGCCCUGUGACAGCAGGCGGGGAUCCAGCUCCUCCUGCCUUUGCCCCAGCCUGAGGGCAUUGGGGCACAUCUGGGCUGCAGCACCUCAGCUGUGGCACAAGGGCCAAACUCAGACUUGUCCCAGACCUUGUGCCAAGAGCCUGGGCAUGA